This 62-nucleotide transfer RNA is filed under the name Typosyllis antoni. RNAcentral describes it as "tRNA-Ala". The record is from RNAcentral. Lineage: Eukaryota; Metazoa; Annelida; Polychaeta; Phyllodocida; Syllidae.
AAAUAGCUAGUUUAUAAAGAACAUUUGAUUUGCAAUCAAAAAGUGACAAGCCUCGCUAUUCU